CGGGAAUGCACAGCAUUGCAGGCUUCAAGUACAUCCAUUCUUGAUAUUAAACCAGAUUCUGAAAAUAAAGAUGGAGAUACUGGAUGGCCUGGUAUGAUGAGCAUACGGGUAUAUGAACUUGAUGGUAUGUAUGACCAUCCAAUUCUACCUAUGGCUGGGGAAAGAAGGCAAACAUUGGAAAAACAAAGUCCAUUCAGGGAUUUAUAGGAACUUGAUGGUAUGUUGAACCAUCCAAUUCUACCUAUGGCUGGAGAAGCAUGGCAACUAUUGGAAAUACAAUGCCAUUCAAGGCUUGCUGCUAGACGCUUUCAGAAGCCUAAGAAAGGUUUAAAAAUUGAUGGCUCUGAUGAUAAUGGUGAUGUGCCUUCCAUGGAUAUACGCUCGAGG
This 387-nucleotide long non-coding RNA is filed under the name Lotus japonicus. Its description in RNAcentral is "long non-coding RNA (LJAP_LNC001854)". Lineage: Eukaryota; Viridiplantae; Streptophyta; Magnoliopsida; Fabales; Fabaceae. The record is from RNAcentral.